This 705-nucleotide ribosomal RNA is filed under the name uncultured bacterium. Its description in RNAcentral is "bacterial SSU rRNA". It matches the Rfam family "Bacterial small subunit ribosomal RNA", at positions 685 to 1390 of the family's 1533-position model. The record is from RNAcentral.
AAUGCGUAGAUAUAUGGAGGAACACCAGUGGCGAAGGCGGCUCUCUGGUCUGUAACUGACGCUGAGGCUCGAAAGCGUGGGGAGCGAACAGGAUUAGAUACCCUGGUAGUCCACGCCGUAAACGAUGAGUGCUAAGUGUUGGAGGGUUUCCGCCCUUCAGUGCUGCAGCAAACGCAUUAAGCACUCCGCCUGGGGAGUACGACCGCAAGGUUGAAACUCAAAGGAAUUGACGGGGGCCCGCACAAGCGGUGGAGCAUGUGGUUUAAUUCGAAGCAACGCGAAGAACCUUACCAGGUCUUGACAUCCUUUGACCACUCUAGAGAUAGAGCUUCCCCUUCGGGGGCAAAGUGACAGGUGGUGCAUGGUUGUCGUCAGCUCGUGUCGUGAGAUGUUGGGUUAAGUCCCGCAACGAGCGCAACCCUUAUUGUUAGUUGCCAUCAUUUAGUUGGGCACUCUAGCGAGACUGCCGGUGACAAACCGGAGGAAGGUGGGGAUGACGUCAAAUCAUCAUGCCCCUUAUGACCUGGGCUACACACGUGCUACAAUGGGAAGUACAACGAGUUGCGAAGUCGCGAGGCUAAGCUAAUCUCUUAAAGCUUCUCUCAGUUCGGAUUGUAGGCUGCAACUCGCCUACAUGAAGCCGGAAUCGCUAGUAAUCGCGGAUCAGCACGCCGCGGUGAAUACGUUCCCGGGCCUUGUACACAC